Molecule: ribosomal RNA, 419 nt
Filed under: uncultured bacterium
Lineage: Bacteria
Description: bacterial SSU rRNA
Rfam family: Bacterial small subunit ribosomal RNA
Source: RNAcentral
GCAAAACGCGAAGAACCUUACCAAGGCUUGACAUACACCAGAACACCCUAGAAAUAGGGGACUCUUUGGACACUGGUGAACAGGUGGUGCAUGGUUGUCGUCAGCUCGUGUCGUGAGAUGUUGGGUUAAGUCCCGCAACGAGCGCAACCCUCGUUCUAUGUUGCCAGCACGUAAUGGUGGGAACUCAUGGGAUACUGCCGGGGUCAACUCGGAGGAAGGUGGGGAUGACGUCAAAUCAUCAUGCCCCUUAUGUCUUGGGCUUCACGCAUGCUACAAUGGCCGGUACAAAGGGCUGCAAUACCGUGAGGUGGAGCGAAUCCCAAAAAGCCGGUCCCAGUUCGGAUUGAGGUCUGCAACUCGACCUCAUGAAGUCGGAGUCGCUAGUAAUCGCAGAUCAGCAACGCUGCGGUGAAUACGUU